GGGGGGAUGGCGCAGUUGGGAGCGCGUUAGACUGAAGUCAACUUCAGGAAGUCAAUCUAAAGGUCGCUGGUUCGAUCCCGGCUCACCCCA
Transfer RNA from Verticillium longisporum, 90 nucleotides. It matches the Rfam family "tRNA". Rfam says of the family: Transfer RNA (tRNA) molecules are approximately 80 nucleotides in length. Their secondary structure includes four short double-helical elements and three loops (D, anti-codon, and T loops). Further hydrogen bonds mediate the characteristic L-shaped molecular structure. tRNAs have two regions of fundamental functional importance: the anti-codon, which is responsible for specific mRNA codon recognition, and the 3' end, to which the tRNAs corresponding amino acid is attached (by aminoacyl-tRNA synthetases). tRNAs cope with the degeneracy of the genetic code in two manners: having more than one tRNA (with a specific anti-codon) for a particular amino acid; and 'wobble' base-pairing, i.e. permitting non-standard base-pairing at the 3rd anti-codon position. The record is from Rfam. NCBI's taxonomy places the organism in Eukaryota, Fungi, Ascomycota, Sordariomycetes, Glomerellales, Plectosphaerellaceae.